GGAUUUUCCGCAAUGGACGAAAGUCUGACGAGCAACGCCGCGUGAGUGAUGAUGUUUUCGGAUCGUAAAGCUCUGUGUUAGGGAAGAACAAGUGCCGUUCAAAUAGGGCGGCACCUUGACGGUACCUACCAGAAAGCACGGCUAACUACGUGCCAGCAGCCGCGGUAAUACGUAGGUGGCAAGCGUUGUCCGGAAUUAUUGGGCGUAAAGGGCUCGCAGGCGGUUUCUUAAGUCUGAUGUGAAAGCCCCCGGCUCAACCGGGGAGGGUCAUUGGAAACUGGGGAACUUGAGUGCAGAAGAGGAGAGUGGAAUUCCACGUGUAGCGGUGAAAUGCGUAGAGAUGUGGAGGAACACCAGUGGCGAAGGCGACUCUCUGGUCUGUAACUGACGCUGAGGAGCGAAAGCGUGGGGAGCGAACAGGAUUAGAUACCCUGGUAGUCCACGCCGUAAACGAUGAGUGCUAAGUGUUAGGGGGUUUCCGCCCCUUAGUGCUGCAGCUAACGCAUUAAGCACUCCGCCUGGGGAGUACGGUCGCAAGACUGAAACUCAAAGGAAUUGACGGGGGCCCGCACAAGCGGUGGAGCAUGUGGUUUAAUUCGAAGCAACGCGAAGAACCUUACCAGGUCUUGACAUCCUCUGACAAUCCUAGAGAUAGGACGUCCCCUUCGGGGGCAGAGUGACAGGUGGUGCAUGGUUGUCGUCAGCUCGUGUCGUGAGAUGUUGGGUUAAGUCCCGCAACGAGCGCAACCCUUGAUCUUAGUUGCCAGCAUUCAGUUGGGCACUCUAAGGUGACUGCCGGUGACAAACCGGAGGAAGGUGGGGAUGACGUCAAAUCAUCAUGCCCCUUAUGACCUGGGCUACACACGUGCUACAAUGGACAGAACAAAGGGCAGCGAAACCGCGAGGUUAAGCCAAUCCCACAAAUCUGUUCUCAGUUCGGAUCGCAGUCUGCAACUCGACUGCGUGAAGCUGGAAUCGCUAGUAAUCGCGGAUCAGCAUGCCGCGGAUGAUUAUA
Molecule: ribosomal RNA, 1015 nt
Filed under: Bacillus velezensis
Lineage: Bacteria; Bacillati; Bacillota; Bacilli; Caryophanales; Bacillaceae
Description: bacterial SSU rRNA
Rfam family: Bacterial small subunit ribosomal RNA
Source: RNAcentral